AUUAGAUACCCUGGUAGUCCACGCAGUAAACGAUGAAUACUAGCUGUUCGGGGCAAAUGAGCCUUGAGUGGCACAGCGAAAGCGUUAAGUAUUCCACCUGGGGAGUACGCCGGCAACGGUGAAACUCAAAGGAAUUGACGGGGGCCCGCACAAGCGGAGGAACAUGUGGUUUAAUUCGAUGAUACGCGAGGAACCUUACCCGGGCUCAAACGCAGCAGGAAUACUUUUGAAAGGAGGUAGCUCUACGGAGCCUGCUGCGAGGUGCUGCAUGGUUGUCGUCAGCUCGUGCCGUGAGGUGUCGGCUUAAGUGCCAUAACGAGCGCAACCCCUGUCGACAGUUGCUAACAGGUUAGGCUGAGGACUCUGUCGAGACUGCCGGCGCAAGCUGCGGGGAAGGCGGGGAUGACGUCAAAUCAUCAUGCCCCUUAUGCUUAGGGCUACACACGUGCUACAAUGGGUGGUACAGAGGGCAGCCAAGUCGUGAGGCGGAGCUAAUCCCUUAAAGCCAUUCUCAGUUCGGAUUGUAGGCUGAAACUCGCCUACAUGAAGCUGGAGUUACUAGUAAUCGCAGAUCAGAAUGCUGCGGUGAAUGCGUUCCCGGGUCUUGUACACACCGCCCGUCACACCACGGAAGUUGGGGGCGCCCGAAGCCACUUAGCUAACCCUUUUGGGAAGCGAGUGUCGAAGGUGAAAUCAAUAACUGGGGUGAAGUCGUAACAAGGUAAC
Molecule: ribosomal RNA, 726 nt
Filed under: uncultured bacterium
Lineage: Bacteria
Description: bacterial SSU rRNA
Rfam family: Bacterial small subunit ribosomal RNA
Source: RNAcentral